Molecule: RNA transcript, 781 nt
Organism: Bombina bombina (fire-bellied toad)
Lineage: Eukaryota; Metazoa; Chordata; Amphibia; Anura; Bombinatoridae
Exons: 4
Source: RefSeq, a predicted model, not a curated record
GAACAAGAUCUAGCAGCCACUUCCCUUAGCCGCAGACUCAAUGCAGAGAACUGUUUGUAGAAAAAGCACUGAAGAUACAAACUGUUAUCCUGCCAGUGACUGAGAUUGAGGUCUAUGUUGGGUCCCCUGUAAUCCUCCCUUGUACCUUCUACACGGACAACCCGUUUCAGAAGCUGAGACAUCUGAUUGUUGAGUGGGUGUUUACUCCUGAGGGGAAUGACACCUAUAGACCUAUUCUAAAAUUAUUUGACAACAUAUCUGAGCAGCUGGAUACCUCUAAUGCAAGAGCUGGGGCAUUUGUAUCACUUCUCCCUGGUGGAAACUGCUCACUGGCUAUCAACCCUACCAGCACCAAAGAUUCGGGCACGUAUAAAGUGUACCUGAAUGUUGAUGGCGCACCGUAUGUCAACUCACCAGCAAUCAGUCUCAAAGUCUUUAACGAAGAUCCAGAUGUAGUUUCACUGAUCCGUAUUUACCAGCGUUUAAAAGCCAGUGGAAUGAUGACCAUCAUACUGAUCGCUGGAGGAGUUGUACUUUGUUUGUUGAUAAGCGGAUGUUUGGCCGGAUUACAUUUUCAGGGUCGAUAUUAUAAAUUAAUUGGACCAUCCCAACCAUCUGAAGAUGAAAGGCAAAAGGACUCUAUGGUCCGAAUGGAGGAAGGGUUCUCAAGCAGCAGUGAAACAGAAUCUGACAGCCGCUGAUGCUACAGUAGAGAUUUCAUUUCCAUCAGAAAACUCUGCUCACCCUUGUUCUCUAUAUUAAUAAAAUAUGUUUGUCAUAA